UGGGGAAUCUUGGACAAUGGGGGCAACCCUGAUCCAGCCAUGCCGCGUGGGUGAAGAAGGCCUUAGGGUUGUAAAGCCCUUUCAGUCGUGACGAUGAUGACGGUAGCGACAGAAGAAGCCCCGGCUAACUCCGUGCCAGCAGCCGCGGUAAUACGGAGGGGGCAAGCGUUGUUCGGAUUUAUUGGGCGUAAAGAGCUCGUAGGCGGUUCGGUUAGUCGGGUGUGAAAACUCUGGGCUCAACCCAGAGACGCCACCCGAUACUGCUGUGACUAGAGUGCGGUAGGGGAGUGGGGAACUCCUGGUGUAGCGGUGAAAUGCGCAGAUAUCAGGAAGAACACCAGUGGCGAAGGCGCCACUCUGGGCCGUAACUGACGCUGAGGAGCGAAAGCGUGGGUAGCAAACAGGAUUAGAUACCCCCGUAGUCC
Molecule: ribosomal RNA, 425 nt
Filed under: uncultured prokaryote
Description: partial 16S ribosomal RNA
Rfam family: Bacterial small subunit ribosomal RNA
Source: RNAcentral